UACGGAGGGGGCUAGCGUUGUUCGGAAUUACUGGGCGUAAAGCGCACGUAGGCGGCUUUGUAAGUCAGAGGUGAAAGCCUAGAGCUUAACUCCAGAACUGCGUUUGAGACUGCAUCGCUCGAAUCCGGGAGAGGUGAGUGGAAUUCCGAGUGUAGAGGUGAAAUUCGUAGAUAUUCGAAAGAACACCAGUGGCGAAGGCGGCUCACUGGACCGGCAUUGACGCUGAGGUGCGAAAGCGUGGGGAGCAAACAGG
This 253-nucleotide ribosomal RNA is filed under the name uncultured bacterium. RNAcentral's name for it is "partial 16S ribosomal RNA". It matches the Rfam family "Bacterial small subunit ribosomal RNA", at positions 524 to 776 of the family's 1533-position model. The record is from RNAcentral.